CGGCCCAACUCCGUUCCUGGUCGGCUCGCAGGUUAACUUUAUCCCAGGUCACCACCGUCCAUCAACUAGGGGCGCAAUGCCUUCCACCAUCGGAAGGACUUUGACCCUAAUGGGUAUCGAUCCCGGGAUCUCCCGGGGGCAAUGGUCGCGCCUUACCAGUAGUGCCAAACCCUAUAUAUCAGCAUGUAUGUAAGCGUGUAAGGUCCAAAGGUGCCCUUGCUAGGAAAUGCAGUGGGUUUUUUUAUGG
RNAcentral lists this long non-coding RNA (247 nucleotides) under Volvox carteri. RNAcentral describes it as "long non-coding RNA (VCAR_LNC002009)". The record is from RNAcentral. Lineage: Eukaryota; Viridiplantae; Chlorophyta; Chlorophyceae; Chlamydomonadales; Volvocaceae.